GCUUUCAUGUCCUUGCAUUUGUUGCAAUAAUUGUCUUAUGUAGAAGCGAGAAAUCAUGUAUAACCAUUUGUUGGACAAUGGGAUAGCUAGAAAUUAUGUGCGAUGGUUGAUGCAUGGGGAAUAUGAGUUUUGUGAACCUACAAAUACUAUUACUAAUGAGUCUCCUAUGCAUGAUGAGAUGCAAGAAAUGUUAAAUGAUGCAUUUGGAAUGUCAAUGUCAAAUGAGGAAUCUAAAAGAAGUCCACAUGUGCAUGAGGAGUUUGAAAAACCAAAUGAGGAUGUAAACAAAUUUUAUAAUUUGUUAAGAGAAGCAGAGCAGGAACUAUAUCUAGGGUGUAAAAAAUUCACAAAGUUGUCUUUUAUCAUAAGAUUAUUUCAUAUGAAGUGUCUUAAUGGAUGGAGCAAUAAGUCCUUUACAAUGUUGCUUGAAUUGUUGAAGGAGACACUUCUUGAGGGUGAGACUUUGCCAAGCAACUAUUAUGAAGCAAAAAAAAAAAAAAAAAAAAAAAACUUCAUGACCUUGGUCUUCAUUAUAUCAAGAUUGAUGCAUGCCUCUCAUAUUGCAUGUUGUAUUCAAAAGAGCAUGCAAAUGCAAAUGAGUGUGUUGUUUGUGGUGUCUCUAGAUGGAAAUCAAGUGAUGAUCAUUCUAUAGAUGCGUUCACUAAUUCAGUAAAGAAAGAGAAAAUUCCUACUAAGGUCUUGUGUUAUUUUCCUUUAAAACCAAGGCUUCAAAGGUUUAUAUGUCAUAUAAGACAGCUUUUCACAUGAAAUGGCAUGUUGAUGGUUGCAUGGAAGGUGAGAUGAUGAGGCAUCCAGUGGACUCUUUGGCUUGGAAAAACUUCGAUAACGUACACCCUUCAUUUGAACUAGAACCUCGAAAUGUUAGGCUCAGUUUAGAAAGUGAUGGGUUCAAUCCUUUUGGGAAUAUGUCAAUUUCAUACAGCAUGUGGCCUGUGGUUCUUAUUCCAUAUAACUUACCACCUUUGAUGUGUAUGAAACAUGCAUUCUUCAUGUUGUCACUACUUAUUCUUGGUCCAACUACACCUGGGAAUGACAUUGACAUAUACUUACAACCAUUGAUAGAUGAGUUGAAUGACUUUAUGGGACGUUGGAGUUGAAACAUAUGAUGCUUCAGCAAAACAAAUUUUUUGUAUGUGUGCAGCUAUAUUAUGGACCAUCAAUGAUUUUCCUGCAUAUGAAAAUCUUUUAGGUUGGAGUACUAAAGGGAAUUUUGCUUGUCUUAUUGGUAAUAAGGAUUGUUCUUUAUUUCAAUUACAAAACGUACGAAAAUGGUGUUAUAUGGGUCAUCGUCGAUUUUUGCCGAUUGAUCAUAUAUUUCGACGUGAUAAAAAGUCCUUUGAUGGAAAGGAAGAGCAUAGAGCAGCACCUAAACAAUUGUCUAAGGAAGAUGUUCUACAUCAGUUAUAUGGAAUGGAACAUAUUACUUUAGGGAAGACAUAAAAAAUAAGAUGUCAACAAAAAGAAAAAGAGAACAUGUUGAACUUGAGCACAAUUGGAAAACCCUCAUUUUGCGUCACAAUUUAGAUGUAAUGCAUAUUGAAAAGAAUAUAUGUGACAGUAUAGUUGGCACCUUGUUGAGUAUUGAUGGUAAAUCGAAGGAUAACUUCAAUAGUUGUCUUGACUUGCUAGCUAUGGGUAUUAGAGAUCAAAUUCACCCCAUACAAAGAGGGAAUAAGGUUAUAUUGCCUGCUGCAUGCUAUUCACUAACUUCAAAUGAAAAAAAAGGAAUUUUUUAAAUUUUUGAAAGAAGUAAAGGUUCCAGAGGGUUAUGCUUAUAACAUUUCUCGGAGUCUGCAAGUGAAUGAAAGAAAGAUAUUUGGAUUGAAGUCUCAUGAUUUUCAUGUUCUCAUGCAACAGUUUCUUCCACUUGCAAUUCGAGGAGUUCUACAUAAGAAUGUUUGUGCUAUUAUAGUUGAACUAUAUAGUUUCUUCAAACAAUUGUGCUCUAAAGUUUUAAAGACUAAUCAAUUGGAGCACCUUGAGAAUGACAUAAUAGUCACACUUUGCAAAUUAGAAAAAAUAUUUCUUCCAUCAUUCUUUGAUGUUAUGGUGCAUUUACCUAUUCAUCUUACAAGUGAGGCAAAGGUCGUUGGACCGGUGCAAUAUCGAUGGAUGUAUCCUAUCGAGCGGUAUGUUCUCAUUCAAUUAAUCUUAUGUAUAUUAGGUUUCAUAUAGUUCAUGAAACAAAUCUAUCAUGUUGUGGAAUGACAGGUAUUUACGUACAUUAAAGUCUUAUGUCUGUAAUAAGAGUCGUUUAGAAGGUUCUAUUGCAAAGGGUACAUAGCAGAAGAAUGUACAACCUUUUGUUCAAUAUAUUUGUAUGAUGUUGAAAUGAAGCAUGACCGUGAAGGAAGAAAUUGUGUCAUUGAAAAUAACAUAACAAAUGGAGGGUUAACCAUUUUCAAAUUCAUGGGACGUACAAUAGGAAAGUCAACAUCUCGUGUUCUUAGCAUAGAAGAAUGGUCCUAAGCACAUUUAUAUGUGUUGACUAGUUGUGAGAAAAUGACGCCAUUUAUUGAGUAAGACAUUUGAAUAAAACUUUAUACUAAUUCUCAUGCAAAAAUUUAAUUUUGGUCUUUGUGAGCAUUAUAAUUAAUUUUAUCUUUUUUAUCAAAGAGCAUAAGCAAUCUAUAAGGAUUAAGCCUCGUAUUCGUGCACGAGAUGUAGAUUUGAUUCACAUAAGAGAAUUCAUUAGUUGGUUUGAAGAACGUGUAAGUUCAUUCACUACAUAAAUUGUUAUAUUAUCUAAUACACAUGUAUGUAUUAACAUCUUAUAUUUGAAUCUAUAGAUUAUACAAAUGCGACAUGAAGGUCCAAUUUCUAAACACAUACUAUCAUUGUCUCGUGGACCAAGUACAUCAGUUACAUGUUAUAGGGAUACAUCAUUAAUGGGUUCAAAUUUCACGCAAGAGAAUGAGAAAAUGGAAAAAGAAAUCAAAAUAGUGGAGUUGUUGUGACCAUAGAGGUGUCAAGCUUUGCAAGUGCAAUAGAUAAGAACCCAAUUCCUAGUCAUGUUUCUUACUAUGGUGUGCUAACUGAUGUAAUUGAGUUACAUUACCUUAGUGGAAAUAGAGUUAUUUUAUUCGAGUGUGACUGGUGGGAUGUAAUCAAUAGUGGAAGGGGAAUAAAGAAUGAUGAAUAUGGGUUCACGUGUUUGAAUAUUGAAUGUACCAUAUGCACAGAUGAACCAUUUGUGCUUGCAUCUCAAGCAAAACAAGUCUUUUAUGUUCAAAAUUCAAAUGAGGAAAAUUGGCACACCGUUGUAGAGAUACAAACUCAAAGGGUUUAUGAUAUGAAUCAGAAAGUAACUACUAAUGAUCCAGAGCCAUAUCAAUAGCUUAUAACACUUCAUAGUCAACGUGAUGUGUAUGAGUUAGUCGAGAAUGAUUUAAUCAAUUGGGAUAGAAAUGAUAUUGUAGGAGAAACUAUCCAAACAGAUGUUCUACUAUCACGACAAGAAAACAUUAUUGAAAAAGAUAAUGAAUUUAUUCAUGAUGAUGAUAUAGAUGAUGUGUAGCUAAUAAUAUUAGUAAAUACAUAAAUAUAUACUUACUAGAUAUACAAAUUGUAAUUUAUUUCAUAUUAUUUAUGUAACUUAUUUUGUAUUACUUUUUCUAAUUUACUUUAUUAUGUAGGAAAUGUCACAUUGAAUAGGAAGAGUACAAAUAGUGUGUCUAGAAGAUGAGUUAGACAAUCUAUAACAACUCUCAGACAUACAACCUGCUGCAACUACUACUUCUAGUAGUUCUAGUCCUUCUGAUUCUUUAGAUCCUUCUGUUGUUGGUAUGAUUAAGAAGAUUAUGUUUAACUUUACAUAUGAUAAAUGAGGUUUAAUUUCUUGAAUGAUAGGUUUUUAAUGUUUAAUUUUAUAUAAGAUAAGUAAAUUAUGUUUCUUUUAAUUUCAUUAUUACUCUUAAUAGGUUCCUCCUCUAGCAAAAAGAGGACACGUGACCCAAGACGUAACUUAGAGAUUUACUUAGUAUUAAACCCGGGGAAAAAAAAACUACACGAUUCAAUACCAGAGGGCAAGUUGUUUAUGAUGAAAAAGGGGAAAAAUUGUCAAGCUAUAUGGGAGCAUUGGUGCGAUCUCAACACAAUGUACCCAUCCAAGUUCAAGAUUGGAAUCAUGUUAGUGAAGAUGUGAAGGAAAAGAUUUGGGCCUUAGUAUUGGUAUAUGCUAGUUACUAUUCAAUCUAAAUUGAAAUGUUAUUGUCUAAAAAUGAUACCUCUUAUUUAUACAUGACAUUUUAAUGCAAUAUAGAAAGAAUAUGAACUAGAAGAAACAUGUAAGAGCUACAUUCUUCAAUGUUGUGGAAAUUUGUUUAGAAGCUAUAGAAAUAAAAUGAAGGCCAAGUAUUAUAACCCUUAUAAUACAGAUGAGGAGAGAUUGAGGCAUCGACCUCCACACUUAUCAAAUGAUGAUUGGAGGUGGCUCAUCCACUUUUGGGGCACACUUGAGGCCAAGGUAAAGAUAAUGAUUUUUUCUUGAUAAUGUAUCUUAUGAUACUCAUAUUCACAUAAAAUGAUAUUUAUUAGUUAUAUCUAACCUAAUACUUCAUAUAUGUAACUUUUAUUAUGUUUCUAUUACCUAUAUAGGUGACUUUCUAUUUUUUAAUUGAUGUAGGAUAUCUCAGAAAAAAAAAAAAGGCAAAUAAGGUAAAGCAAGUGAUAUAGCAUUCAUCGGGAUAAAAAAGUUAUGCUCAAAUUUGAUAUGAACAGGUUAGAAAUUUAUUAUUAAUAUGAUUUGUUUGUACAUAAAUAAUUCAUCAUAAAUAACUCAAUUGUUUUGCUUGUAAGAAUAGACACAAAAGAAGGAGGAUCGAAGUCAGCCUAAUAGAAUUGAGAUGUUUGCCCUAACACAUACAAAAAAAAAAUGGGACGCCUGUUGAUGAUCAUUCUAAGGAGAUUAUGGUAAUGAAGUAAAUAAAUUUAUAUACUUGUAUUUCAAUCAUAGCCACAUACUAAAAUUAUUUUAAAAGUCUAACAAUUUUUUUUGUUUUUUAUAAUUCCAGGAUCAAUUUUAGUAAUUACUAUCCCAACCUGAGGGGACAUCUUCUUCUGCUUCUAUAUCAUCUAGAGCAUCUACAUCUGUAGCAUCUACAUCUGUAGAUGAGAUAUAUACUCAACUCAUGGGUCUAGAGAGGCAUGACCAUGUUCGAGGGUAUGAAUUUGGUCCUAUUCCUACCUCAGUCUUUGGUUUUACUAAUAGAAGGCGAUCAGGAGUUAUUCUUUCAACACAACUUGAAAAUCCCCAAGAGAUGCUAAUAGAUAUAGAACAAAAGUUUACAACUACAACUAAAACACUCUCAAAUGUGAAAGAGAAACUCUCACAUGUGAAAGAAACAUUUGAAGAGAGGUUGAUAGAAGUUCAAAGGAAGACAUGAGAAGAAGUGAAAGAAGAGUUUGAAGAAAAAAUUAUGGAAAUGCUAAGAAAAAUGCAAGCACAAAUUCAAGAACAGAUGAUGCAAAUGAUGCAACAAUUUUAGCAAAAGUAGUAGAAAUUUGAAGAUUUUGCUACAUCUUUAUAUGAUAAAUUCUCUUUUUUUUUUUUGAAGAUUAUGCUACUUAUUUAUAUGAUAGAUUUUCCUAACUUUUUUUUUGAAGAUUGUGAUGUUUGGUUGGUUGAUUUGUUAUAUUAUGUUAGAAUGUGAAACUAAAUUUGAAUUUCUUUGUUCUUUGUUUGUUUGCUUUUUUUUUUUUUUUUUUUGUUAUAUUAUGUUUUUGUUAUUUCAUGACUUAUAUUGACAUAUAAGUUUUUAACUAGCUUGGGAUAAUUGAUUGUAAUAUAUUGAACUAUAUUGAAAUUGUUUUAAUUGUUUAAUUGCAUAUAUAGGUCUAAAAUGAGUUUUUUUUAGGUUUAUAACAAGUUUGGGAAAUUUGAAUUUAUAAAAGACCAAUGUCUAAAUAUAACAAAUUUUAGUCACGACCACUAAAAAAUUGUGACCAAAAGUGUACUUUUAGUCACAAUCAAUAAUGAACCAUCAUAAAAAGUUGGGGAUAGGCAAACAUUAUAUGAUUAAUUUUAGUCAUAGUCAUUAAUAGUCAUGACCAUAAGUGUACAUUUUGUCAUAAUAGACCUAACAAUUAGUCACAGUCACUUAAUUAAUCGUGACCAUAUACCUACAUUUAGUCACGAUUAAUGAAUUAACUGUGACCAUAAGAUUACAUUUAAUCACAAUCAUUUAAUUAACCGUGACUAUAGACAUACAUUUAGUCAUGAUUAAGGAUUGAUCGUAACCAUAAGUUUACAUUAAUCCAUAAGUUGACAUUUAGUCACGGUAACUUACUUGACCAUGACCAUAAGCUUACAUAUUGUCACGAUCACUAACUUUACCCGUGACUAUAAGUGUACAUUUAGUCACAAUUUAUUACUUGACCAUAACUAUAGGUUAAACAUAUAGUCACAAUUUAUUACCUGACUGUGACUAAAUCAACUAAUAAACAAUAAAAUAUUUCUAACUUUUGGUCACAAUUUUUGUAUGGCCAUCACAAAAAAAGAAAUCAUAUGAUCACGAUCACUUAGGAAACUGUGACCAAUACCUUUAGCUACGUCUCGUACUGUGAAGCUUGGUCACGGUUUCAUAAGACCGUGACAAUAGGUUUUGGUCACGGAUAUAUUAAGAUUUGGUGAUGGUUGGGGACCGUCACCUAAAAUCCUAUUUCUUGUAGUGUAAAGAUAUUUAUAAUGGAAGCCCAUUUCAGAUUGCUUGGCCCUUUCAUGCAGUAGGUAAAAGUCAUCUAAGUGCUGUGUUACUGUGCUGUCAUUUUGCUUAAUCCGUUUAGUUUUGGUUCUUGACUUUGCAUAAUUUCAGAUUUUAUUUAGUUCAGAAUUGAUUUGGCUUAUGUUCAAUCCUUCAGAUGUGUGUAAAUCCAAUGUUUUAACACUAGAGAUUAUUGCUAUUUAGAGAGCAAUCUUUUUGGAAAGUUUUGAAAGACAACAAACAGUGCCUUUCUCAAAGAAAAAUGCUUUCCUGAGGAGAUUAUUAUGUAAUUAUCAGCAAUGGUGAUUGUUUAAAGAUGAAAGUGAGGGAUUGUGUUGAGCCUGGUCCAAAAUCCUCACAUGAUUCCUAAAUAGGCUGAUUCCCAUGCUCUGUUUUUUGUUUCCUGGGUUGCAAAAACCCCAAAUCUUCAAGAUCUGAAGGUGCUAUGUCUGGAAACCUGGUUAAUCAAAUGUCACCAAGUCAAGGAUGCAUGUCUAGAACGAAUAUUUUCUGGUUUUCAAGAAAGCUGGAUUGGUAGAUAUUGCAGCUUUCAACUUUGCCAGUGUACUAUCCGCCACUUGACUGCAGCCCAGUGGACUUGUCCAUCCUAGCAGCAGAAUAAAGGGGAUCCUUCCUCAUGCGUGAUCAGAUGCCUCGGUCGAUCAAUCACAGCUCAAAUAUGUUUAGUAUAAAGGUGGAGCUUCGAACUCGCGACAUCCUAAAAAACCUAUGUGUUCAAAGCACUAUGAGGGUCAAAUUAAAUAAGAAUUCUAAAAUUCAUGGAUGGAAGCUUCACAUAAGCACAUUAUGCUAAUUGUAAAAAAGCAAAUAUAUUCUUAAUGGAGAAGUAUUAGACAAUUUUCUCAUUCUAAUGCUUUUGGGAGAAAGGAAAGAAAAAAGAAGGAAGAAAAUAAAAAAGAAAAAGUAAAAAGAGAAAGUGGAGAUUGGCCUGGCCAAAACACUGGAAUUAAUGCAAGUGGCAGGAAGAGAAUCGAUGCCCACCACUACACUGUGAAACAAGACAAAAGACAAUCACGUAAUAGGAAAUGAGGCACGAGGAAAAAGUACUUUCUAUAUAUAAUCUUCAAAAUUGAAUGCCUCAGCAGCACCUACUCCACUAGCGUUGAUAACUUUUUCUAGCUUAUUUCAUCCUUCUACCCCUCCAUUCUCAUGUCUCUGCGGAAGAGUAUGGUUAACAGAGGUCUCCUCAUUCUCACCUGCUUCUUCUCAUUCGUGAUUCAGCUAUGCUUGGCUUCAAAGACCAGGCACUUCAAAUGGGAAGUGGAGUACAUGUACUGGUCACCAGAUUGUAUGGAGGGUGUCGUGAUGGGAAUCAAUGGGCAGUUCCCAGGGCCAACUAUCCGGGCUGUUGCAGGAGAUACUAUUGUAGUUGAGCUCACAAACAGGCUUCACACUGAGGGUGUCGUCAUUCAUUGGCAUGGAAUCAGACAGGUUUUGGUUUUCGUCUAUUUUGCAUUCGAUAUUAUAUUCUUAUCCAUUAACUCAUGAUUCAAACUUUUGAGCGAAAUUCCACAGUUCGGAACUCCAUGGGCAGAUGGGACUGCAUCCAUCUCACAAUGUGCCAUUAAUCCUGGAGAGACCUUCAUCUACAGAUACAAAGUUGAUAAGGUAAAGUCAGUGUCUUAUGGCCUCUCUCUCAUAUAUUAUUGACCUGCUCCACUUGAUGGAUUAUUUUCAGAGGACCCCAGCACUUCUUGAUUGGUCAGUUUCUUGUAGUGGCCGCUUAAGCCAUGCUCUUACAAAGUUGUGAAAUGUUAUGGUGCAGGCUGGCACAUACUUUUACCAUGGACACUACGGAAUGCAAAGAUCUGCUGGACUGUAUGGAUCUCUGGUAGUAGAGGUUGGUGAAGGUCAAAAGGAACCUUUCCAUUACGAUGGGGAGUUCAAUCUGUUGUUGAGUGAUUGGUGGCAUAAGGGAAGUCAAGAGCAAGAAGUGGCCCUCUCGUCCAAACCAUUUCGUUGGAUUGGCGAACCCCAGGUAACCGUCAAUCUCUUCUUGUCCCUAUUUUCUACGCCUCUACGGUCAAUUUCAAAACGGUCGUUUUUCAGUAUGGAGUAGUUGGUAUUUGGUGAAACCCUUGUCUUGUUGACUACGUUUUGAAAUUAUUAAGCACCAAAAAACUGGGGGAAAAAGUCAAAACAAGAGGAAGUCUUGGUUGUCCAUUAAUCAUUAAUUCUGUGGAAUAUUGUUUUCAGACUCUGCUCAUCAACGGAAGAGGCCAGUACAAUUGCUCUCUAGCCGCCCACGUUACCAACUCCUCCUCUCCCCAGUGCCAAUUCCGUGGAAAUGAACAAUGUUCACCCCAGAUCCUCCAUGUGCAGCCCCAUAAAACUUACAGGCUCAGGGUCUCCAGCACCACCGCACUCGCUUCACUGAAUUUGCAAAUUGGGGUACUAACCAUAUCACUCUAUUUUCUCCCUUCUGUCAACUUUUCUUUAUGAAUCUAUGCCUCAAGUGAUAAGAUAUUCUGAUUGCAAUUGGGUGGUUGACACGUAACAAAUAAAGAAUGAAAGAACCACCCUAUUGGCCCUUGGGGGGACUGCCUACACAUAUUAUACUAUUUUAGGAAGAUAGUGGUCACACUCGACCAAACCCACCAAGUCGUAAAGUAUUAGAAAAUAUCACUCUUAUCAUGACAAUUUGUCAAUAAGAUACGGAAUUGAGGAUGUGAAAUAAAGUUCGAAAAGAAGAAAAAAGUUAGGAUAAGAUAAUAGAAAAUAAGCAAAAAGUAAGAAGCUUUUCCUGUUGCAAUUAUUUUUUUAUUUUAAAAAAUAUAAAGUAAUAUGCCCAAAAAGCAAAAAAAAAAAAAAAAAAAAAUUAGUCAAAAAGCCUGGUUGAAAAUUUUGCUUCAUAGAUUGGCGUGACGGCAAUAGUUGUGAGUUAAUUAAACGUGGGAUAAAAAUAAGAAAAUGACACUUAAAUUAUUCACUUCACGACAUAGCUACAUUCUUUUCUAUUGGUACUUCUUUUUCUCUCUCAUGCAUAAAAGGUGGGAAUCGAGAAUCGAUUCCCUAUGAAAAUUUGAUUUUAAAUUUUGUGAUGCUCAUGCCUUAUACAUAUGUAUUAUUGAUUGAGAAAUUCAACCAGAAGCAUUUAUUAGUUCAUGGAAGUGGUCUUUAAAAAAUGUCCAUGUCAAAGGUAAAGGGAAUUGUUCUCUUUAGUAUUAUUUGCUGACAGCGGUUCAACAUGCCUACUGUCCUUCUCCCCCAACUUGGACGUUUUUGUCCCAAAAUGCAUAUGGUGCAUGUGACUUGCCCGGUCCAUUUUGUUUAAAAAUAUCUUCUUGUGGUCCUCUACAACUGUGAGAAUUAUAUUCUUCACGUUAAACCAUCCUACUUGAUGGUGGCUUCAUCUGACCACUAAAGACUUUAUUGAUUGAAUUACACAGACCUCAUUGUAUAUAUAGGUAUAGGACCCAUGAUGAUUUUGACAUUUUAAGACUUUUUUUUUCUACUUUUUUGACACUUCGAAAUUUAUCCUACAACUUUUUUCUCAGAAGUAUUAUUUUUCAUUUUGAUACUUUUUUCUUGAAUGACUUCCAGAUAAAGUCUUCAUUGAAACAUAAAGCUUAGAAUAUUUGUACAUACACGAAACAUACCCCAAAUUUCAGAAAAGCUUGAAUUAGAUACAUCAGGAAAAUGGGUUCAAAGUUGGAUAGAAAGAGAUUCAAAACAAUAGGACCGGUCCUAUGAUUUAGCAGACAAAAUAUUCUGAAUUUCAGAAAAUUUACACUAAAUAUGAACACCUGCGUAAGUAAAACUUUCCAUAAGAAGUUCUGUAUUGCUCCUUUUAUGUCACACACCAUGUGUUUUGUCUUCUUCUGAUUUGAAAUAAACAUCAUGCCUUGUUGAACCGUAAGUUGAAAAGAGGAGACAUAGCUGGUGAGUCUAGUACUACUAUUUUUUACUGUUCACAUGUGAUUGGGCAGUGCUAGAUUUGGCUUUGUCGUUGCUCCAUCCAUGAAUGCACUGGAUCUGGUGGAGCCAACUAGAGCUUACGGGGGCCAUGUGCCUCUGAAAAUAUAAAAACAAAAAACACCUCCCGUACUUCUUGCAGUAGGGGGACUCCAACCCAUAAAAAACUACCUCCACUUCUUGGAAUUGAAGACUCGAACCCAAGACCGUUAUUGCACCUAACAAUGACAAGCUAGACCGUUGGACUAACAGAUGCAUGUGCUAAAAAGUGCUCCUUUGAACUGAACUGCCGGCUCCACAGUGAAAGGUAGAUUUUUAUUGUUUAUUCUUCACUAGGCAUGCGGUGUGAUUUGAAAUUGAGGUUAAUGUGCCAUUCUUUAUCCUUUUUAAAUUUAAUUUUCCUUUUUCAAUGUCUUUGUUUAUAUAUACUUAUUAAGUUGUUUUAAGAAAAAGUAAUUUUAAGGUAAUGAUUUUGUUUCCACCAACUUGUAAAUGUAACUGAGAUUGACGCAUUCAUUUGUUAUUAUGCUGUUACAUAGAAUCACAAGAUGGUGAUGGUGGAAGCAGAUGGAAACUAUAUUCAGCCAGUGGCAGUGGAUGACUUAGACAUUUACUCUGGAGAGAGCUACUCUGUUUUGAUCCACACUGACCAAGACCCCUCCAAGAACUACUGGAUUUCAGUUAGUGUAAGAGGAAGAGAGCCCAAGACUCCUCAAGGCCUCACCAUUCUCAACUACCAAACAACUUCAGCUUCAAAGCUCCCAACAUCUACACCUCCAGUGUCUCCUCUUUGGAAUGACUACAACCACAGCAAAUCUUUCUCCAACAAAAUCCUGGCCCUCAUGGGCUCCCCCAAGCCUCCAACCACCUACAACCGCAGAAUCAUCCUCCUCAACACUCAAAACACUAUCAAUGGAUUCACCAAAUGGGCUAUCAAUAAUAUAUCCCUAACAUUGCCUCCAACUCCUUAUUUGGGUGCCAUUAAGCAUCGUUUGAGCAACGCUUUCGAUCAGAAGAGUCCACCAGAGAACUUUCCCAACGAUUAUGAUGUGAUGAAACCUCCAACAAACACUAACUCGACAUAUGGGAAUGGGGUGUACAUGCUUGAGUUUAGGACAACGGUCGACGUGAUUCUUCAAAAUGCCAAUGCAUUAGCAACAGGUGUCAGUGAAAUACACCCUUGGCACCUGCAUGGUCAUGAUUUUUGGGUGUUGGGAUAUGGAGAAGGAAAGUUUAGGGAAAAGGAUGCGAAGAGGUUUAACUUAAAGAAUCCACCAUUGAGGAAUACUGCAGUGAUAUUCCCUUUCGGAUGGACAGCUCUUAGGUUUGUGGCGGAUAAUCCUGGGGUUUGGGCAUUUCACUGCCACAUUGAGCCUCAUUUGCAUAUGGGAAUGGGAGUGGUCUUUGCCGAAGGUGUUCAUCUGGUCAAAGAUGUACCAAACCAUGCUCUUGCUUGUGGCUUGACCGGGAAAAUGUUGAUGAGUAACUACAGUCACCACUGAGAAUAGCUAGCUGGCAACCUAGCUGAAGCUAUCUUCAAUUUUUGUGUGGUACAUACAUGCAAUUAAAAGCCUAUUUAUUUAGUUGGAAAACUGAGAACCAAAUUCUAUUUGAAGAGAGAUUUAGUCUUGUGUUUGGUUUCUUAUGUUUUGGCAAUGGUUGUGAUAUUUAAUGUAUGACAAGUAAAUUUUCCACAAUUGCACUUUGAAUUACUAUAAAACUAGAUUCCCAUCUCGUUUAUAGGGGUUGAAGUAGGACUGAUUCAUGAGAUCAACUUACAUGCUCAAUCCAUUCAAAUAGGGUGUGUUAGCAUGAAUAGCCAUGUGUUGAGUGGCAAUUGAUAUGGUCUGGAUUUAGGAGUCCUUCGAGAGUGAUAUUCAUAAAAGUGCUUUCAGUAUGUAGCGUUUUUUGUAAUGGUAUAUAUAGCAAAAAAAAAAAAAAGUGCUUUAGUAUUUUAGAAGUACAUAACAAGUGCUAAUCCAAAAAUUACUUAAAAUUUUAAAAGUGAUUUUAAUAACAUUGAUAAAUGUCUAAUAUUUAAAAGAAAAACCUUUUUGGCUGCAUUUAGUAGGUAGGGUUAAAUGGUGGGCUAGGAUUUUUUUUUUUUUUUUUUGAUAGAUAAACAGUCAAAUAUAUUAGAAGAGGCUAAAAAAGCCGCAUGUAUACAGGGGGUAUACUAAACAGCCCCAAAAGAGGCUGGAACAUCAACAAAAAAGGUUAAAAACCUCACCCACCCUCAAGUGGUCCCAAGCCACUCCAAAAAGCCUAACAGAGAGUAGGUUUCCUCACCAAUGUACACCUUAGCCCAACCCCACAAAUUACAAACAAAAGAAUUCUUGAAUUUCUAAAUAUCUAAAGACCCUCCCCUAAACACUAUCCUAUUCCUUUCCUUCCAAACCGUCCAAAAAAUGCACAGCGGUAUGGAAUUCCAUAUUUUUUUUCUUUUUUUUCCCACAAAAGAACCCCUCCAACUAUGAAGCACCUCUAUAACCGACUCUGGGAACACCCAUUGAACUCCGAAAAUGACAAGGGUAAUCUCCCAAAUAGUUUUAACCACUGUACAAUGUAAGAGAAUAUGAUUCGCAUUUUCCUCUUCGCAUCCACAUAAAUAACACCGAUUAGGUAGCUGCCAUCCCCUUCUUUGAAGCUUAUCCAAAGUGAGGAUCUUCCCCCACGCUGCCUCCCAAGCAAAAAAAGACACUUUUGUUGGAACCCUAUCCAUCCAAAUGCGUCUAUUCGGAAAAGCACCAACUGAGUAGCCGCUCAAACUUCUGUAGGCCCCCUUGGCCCCAAAAACGUCGUUGCCUUCCCGCUUCCAUCUCACUGAGUCCUCCUCCUGAGAAAUCCUGAAAUCCUUCAGAAGAUUCAGCAUUUCUCCUAUCUGAUCUAUCUCCCAAUCAUUGAAAUCUCUAGCCAAACUGAGAUUCCACCCUCCUUGCCCCAAACUAGAAUCCCACACUUCGCAAACUUUGGCAUUCUUAUGACCCGCCAAGGUAAACAACUGAGGAAAAGUUUGAGAAAGCGCCUCAUUGCCACACCACUUAUCCAUCCAAAACAAAACUCUAUUCCCCUUCCCAACCUUAAGGUCCAUGCUCUCCCAACACCACUCCGCCUCUUUCAUUAUCUCCUUCCACAACCCCACCCCAUAAGGCCCACAAACUUCCUUAGUCCUCCACCCACAUCCCUCUUGACCAUAUUUCACCCCUAUCGCCUUUUUCCAUAGGUUAUCCUUCUCAUAGGCAUAUCUCCAUACCCAUUUGCCCAACAAUGUUUUGUUCAACAAAUCUAUCUUUCGGAUGCCUAAUCCCCCCUCCUCCUUAGGGCUGCAAACCACUUGCCAAUUAAUCAAAUGAACUUUCCCCUCCAAGCUUCCUCCCCCCCACAAGAAAUCUCUUUGGAUUUUUUCAAUCCUUUUUGCCACCACCUUAGGAAUUCGAAUAAGUGAAAGGAGGUAGAUGGGUAUGCUGGCCAAGGUGCUCUUAAUAAGAGUAAUUCUUCCCCCCUUGGAGAUAUAUUGCCUUUUCCACUGGGCCAAUCUUCUUCUCAUUCUCUCUUCCACCCCAUCCCAAGAAGAGGCGUUUUUAUGAUUGGCUCCAAGGGGCAGCCCCAAGUAAACAGCGGGUAAAGCCCCCAAUUUACAACCCAGCUCAGCCGCCAAUUCCUCCAUCCCAUCCACUUCCCCCACCGGAAUAAGGACACUCUUAGCCAGAUUAAUUCUCAAGCCGGAGGCAGCCUCAAACCACGCCAAAAUCCAGCUUAGAUUGGUCAGUUGCUCUCUUCUAGCUUUGCAAAAAAUUAGAGUGUCGUCAGCAAAGAGGAGGUGCGAAACAGUCAGCUCAUCCCCCCCUCUCCCCCGCAUCCUACAGCCUGAAAUAAAGCCCCCUUCACCAGCCCGUCUAAUCAUGGUGCUAAGCACUUCCAUACCCAAAACAAAAAGAUAAGGAGAGAGGGGAUCUCCNNNNNNNNNNNNNNNNNNNNNNNNNNNNNNNNNNNNNNNNNNNNNNNNNNNNNNNNNNNNNNNNNNNNNNNNNNNNNNNNNNNNNNNNNNNNNNNNNNNNUUUUUUUUUUUUUUUCCCACAAAAGAACCCCCUCCAAUUAUGAAGCACCUCUAUAACCGACUCUGGGAACACCCAUGAAACUCCGAAAAUGACAAGGGUAAUCUCCCAAAUAGUUUUAACCACUGUACAAUGUAAGAGAAUAUGAUUCACAUUUUCCUCUUCGCAUCCACAUAAGUAACACCGAUUAGGUAGCUGCCAUCCCCUUCUUUGAAGCUUAUCCAAAGUGAGGAUCUUCCCCCACGCUGCCUCCCAAGCAAAAAAAGACACUUUUGUUGGAACCCUAUCCAUCCAAAUGCGUCUAUUCGGAAAAGCACCAACUGAGUGGCCGCUCAAACUUCUGUAGGCCCCCUUGGCCCCAAAAACGCCGUUGCCUUCCCGCUUCCAUCUCACUGAGUCCUCCUCCUGAGAAAUCCUGAAAUCCUUCAGAAGAUUCAGCAUUUCUCCUAUCUGAUCUAUCUCCCAAUCAUUGAAAUCUCUAGCCAAACUGAGAUUCCACCCUCCUUGCCCCAAACUAGAAUCCCACACUUCACAAACUUUGGCAUUCUUAUGACCCGCCAAGGUAAACAACUGAGGAAAAGUUUGAGAAAGCGCCUCAUUGCCACACCACUUAUCCAUCCAAAACAAAACUCUAUUCCCCUUCCCAACCUUAAGGUCCAUGCUCUCCCAACACCACUCCGCCUCUUUCAUUAUCUCCUUCCACAACCCCACCCCAUAAGGCCCACAAACUUCCUUAGUCCUCCACCCACAUCCCUCUUGCCCAUAUUUCACCCCUAUCGCCUUUUUCCAUAGGUUAUCCUUCUCAUAGACAUAUCUCCAAACCCAUUUGCCCAACAAUGUUUUGUUCAACAAAUCUAUCUUUCGGAUGCCUAAUCCCCCCUCCUCCUUAGGGCUGCAAACCACUUGCCAAUUAAUCAAAUGAACUUUCCCCUCCAAACUUCCUCCCCCCCACAAGAAAUCUCUUUGGAUUUUUUCAAUCCUUUUUGCCACCGCCUUAGGAAUUCGAAUAAGUGAAAGGAGGUAGAUGGGUAUGCUGGCCAAAGUGCUCUUAAUAAGAGUAAUUCUUCCCCCCUUGGAGAUAUAUUGCCUUUUCCACUGGGCUAAUCUUCUUCUCAUUCUCUCUUCCACCCCAUCCCAAGAAGAGGCGUUUUUAUGAUUGGCUCCAAGGGGCAGCCCCAAGUAAACAGCGAGUAAAGCCCCCAAUUUACAACCCAGCUCAGCCGCCAACUCCUCCAUCUCAUCCACUUCCCCCACCGGAAUAAGGACACUCUUAGCCAGGUUAAUUCUCAAGCCGGAGGCAGCCUCAAACCACGCCAAAAUCCAGCUUAGAUUGGUCAGUUGCUCUCUUCUAGCUUUGCAGAAAAUAAGAGUGUCGUCAGCAAAGAGGAGGUGCGAAACAGUCAGCUCAUCCCCCCCUCUCCCCCGCAUCCUACAGCCUGAAAUAAAGCCCCCUUCACCAGCCCGUCUAAUCAUGGUGCUAAGCACUUCCAUACCCAAAACAAAAAGAUAAGGAGAGAGGGGAUCUCCUUGCCGCAGCCCCUUUGAGUUCGAAAAGAAACCAGCUGGAACCCCAUUGAUUAAUAUAGAGAAUUUGGCGGUAGAAAUACACCACCUCAUCCAUUCCUCCCACCGAGACCCAAAUCCCAUCUUCCGAAGAACCUUCAUAAGGAAGUUCCAAUUGAUACUAUCAUAAGCUUUUUCAAUGUCCAACUUACAUAUCAACCCUUUCUCUUUUCUUUUAUACCAAUAAUCAAUCACCUCAUUAGCUACUAGAGAAGCAUCCAAAAUCUGUCUCCCUCUCACAAAGGCGUUUUGGUCAACUGAGACCACUCUGUCCAGCACUUUCUUUAGCCUAUUUGCUAGGACUUUGGCUAAAAGUUUAUACAAACUCCCAAGCAAACUAAUUGGCCUAAAGUCCCCCAAGUCAUCAGCUCCUCCUUUCUUGGGAAUAAGGACCAAAAAGGUGGUAUUAAGAGACUUGGCAAAGGAUUCAUACUCAAAGAAUUCCUUAAACAGUUUCAUCACCUCCUCCUUCACCACAUCCCAGCAAUCUUGCCAAAAGGCCAUUGUGAACCCAUCCGGACCUGGAGCUUUAUCACCCCUCAUCUCCAUUAGUGCAAAAUGAAUUUCCUCCUCAGAGAAGGGCACCUCCAAAUUUUCAGCUUCCCGGGAAUUAAGCUGUUUGAGCUGCAGGCCCUCAAUAUCUGUUCUCCACCCCGGCUCUUCUGAAAGUAAAUUCUGGAAAGCAUUCACUAUCCCCUCCCUCACCUCUUGAUCCUCAGUCAGCAACUCCCCAUUAAUUGUAAUCCUAUCCAAAGAAUUAUUCCUGCGAUGAGCAUUGGCCAUACGAUGAAAAUAACCGGUAUUCCUAUCCCCUUCCUUUAGCCACAGCUCCCUAGAUUUCUGCCUCCACUGAAUUUCCUCCAUUAGCACCCAUUUAUAAAAGACAUGGCUAGGAUUUUGAAAAAUUAUCAACUACUUUGGUAUUGAUGCAAGCAAGAAACAAAGGUAAUGUGUACAACAACAAAGAAAUGAAGAAGUUUCUUAUUUUCUAUAUCCAAAAAUGUAUAGGCAGGUGAGUAUUUAUAUACAAAAAACUUAGCAAAAUGAUAGCUGAAAAAUAACAAACUACAAACUAAAAAACUCAUUGCUAACUAACUAAAAUUAAGUUGCGACUUAACUACUAACUUUCUGUACAUCCUCCCUGCAAGUUGGAGCUUGGUGAAAAUCAAACAAGCCUUACUUGGACAACAAAAAUGAAAAAGUAGGAGCAGAUAAAGCUUUUGUGAAUAUGUUUGCAAUGUGAAGCUUUGAAGAAAUGUGAUGAGGUAAAAUAAAUCCUUGCUUGAAUUUAUCUUGAACCAAGUGACAAUCAAUCUCCAAAUGUUUGGUACGAUCUAAAAUACAAGAUUAGUUGUAAUGUGGAGAGUUGCAUGGUUGUCACACUAAGGAGGAAUAGAGAGAGAAGGAAGAAAACCAAAAUCUUGUAAGAGAUAAGAUAUCCAUUGCAAUUCACAAACAGUGGAAACCAUGCUUCUAUAUUUAGCUUUAGCAGAAGAACGGGACACAGUAGUUUGUUUCUUGGUUUUCCAAGAAAUCAAAGUUGAUCCAAAGAAAAUACAAUAACCAGUAAGAGACCUUCUAGUAUCAAUGCAAGAGGCCCAAUCAACAUCACAAUAAGCUUGAAGCUUAAAAGAAUUACUAGAAAGGAAAAAUAUUCCUUCAAAGUGACAACCCUUGAGAUAGUGUAGAGCAUGUAAGGCAGCAUCCCAAGAGCUUGGCAAGGAGCAUGAACAAAUUGACUUAGUUGUUGAACAACAUAAGUAAAAUCAGGUCAAGUAAAUCCCAAAUAGAGAAGACCUCCAAUUAUUCUUCUAUAUUUGUCUAGAUUGGAGAGUAAAGAGCCCAUAGUUGUAGAAAAUUUGUGGCCUGGAGGAAGUGGAGUAGUAGCAGGUUUGACGCCUAAUAAACCUGUGUCCUUAAGAAUGUCCAUAACAUACUUUCUUGAUUGAUAUAAGUACCAGUAGUAGAACGAGCUAUCUCAAGACUAAGAAAAUACUUGGCAUAACCAAGAUCUUUAACUGUAAAUUGAGAAUAUAGAAAUUGCUUAACAGCAACAAUAUCAUCCUCAUUAGUUACUAUGACUAAAACAUCAUCCACAUAGAUAAUCAAGGCUAGAAAAACAUGGUCUGAUUGUUUGACAAACAAACAAUUAUCAUGAACUAACUGAUGAAAACCAAAUUGUUUCAAUUUUAUAGUAAAUUCAUAAUUCCACUACCUAGAUGCCUGUUUAAGAUCAUAUAGAGAUUGUUUAAGUUUACAUACUUGACUUGGUAUGGCAUUAGUAUAACCUUCUAGAGGCUGCAUAUAGACUUUUUUCAUCCAAAUAAUCAUGCAAGAAAACAUUGUUGAUAUCUAAUUGAUGAAUUGGCCAAGACUUUGUAGUAGCAAUAGCUAGUAACAACUUGAUGAUAACAAGCUUAGCAACAGGUGAAAAAUUGUCAAAAUAAUCUAUCCAUUCUAUUUUAUUAUAACCUUUUGCCUCUAGUCUUGCUUUAAACAUAUCAACACUACCAUCAGGUUUAAGUUUAACCUUGUAGACCCAUUUGGAACCAAUGGCUUUCUUACCCACAGGUAAACUUUUUAAAUCCCAAGUAUGAUUAUCCUCUAGAGCAGCAAGCUCUUUGUUCAUUCCUACAACCCAUUUUGCAUGAACGCUAGCCUGUUUAUAAGAAAUUGGUUCGGGAAAAGCUAUAAGAAGUAAUGAAUGGAAAAAUGUUGGGUGUUUAGGAAGAAGUAGGAUCAAGAGUUGUGAUUGAAGAAGCAUUGUUAGUAGAUGAAGUAAUAGAAUCUAUAAUAUUUGAAACAAAGUCAUUCAACCAAGUUUGUUUCCUUUUAACUUGAGUACUGUGCCUUGGAGAUAAAACAAGAGGAAUAGAUAUAGAAGUAGAGAGCAAGACAGGUAGAGUAGAUAUAGAUGAAUCAUAAUGUGUAGAGGAAUGAGAAAUAGAAAGAACAUCACUCCUUAUUUAGGUACCUAAAUAAUCCUCCUCAACACUCAAAACACUAUCAAUGGAUUCACCAAGUGGGCUAUCAAUAAUAUAUCCCUAACAUUGCCUCCAACUCCUUAUUUAGGUGCCAUUAAGCAUCGUUUGCAAAACGCUUUCGAUCAGAAGAGUCCACCAGAGAACUUUCCCAACGAUUAUGAUGUGAUGAAACCUGCAACAAACACUAACUCGACAUAUGGGAAUGGGGUGUACAUGCUAGAGUUUAGGACAACGGUCGACGUGAUUCUUCAAAAUGCCAAUGCAUUAGCCACAGGUGUCAGUGAAAUACACCCCUGGUCAUGAUUUUUGGGUGUUGGGAUAUGGAGAAGGAAAGUUUAGGGAAAAUGAUGCAAAGACGUUUAACUUGAAGAAUCCACCAUUGAGGAAUACUGCAGUGACAUUCCCUUUCGCAUGGACAGCUCUUAGGUUUGUGGCGGAUAAUCCUGGGGUUUGGGCAUUUCACUGCCACAUUGAGCCUCAUUCGCAUAUGGGAAUGGGAGUGGUCUUUGCUGAAGGUGUUCAUCUG
RNAcentral lists this long non-coding RNA (19786 nucleotides) under Vitis vinifera (wine grape). RNAcentral describes it as "long non-coding RNA (VVIN_LNC001852)". Lineage: Eukaryota; Viridiplantae; Streptophyta; Magnoliopsida; Vitales; Vitaceae. The record is from RNAcentral.